Molecule: ribosomal RNA, 369 nt
Filed under: uncultured bacterium
Lineage: Bacteria
Description: bacterial SSU rRNA
Rfam family: Bacterial small subunit ribosomal RNA
Source: RNAcentral
CCUACGGGAGGCAGCAGUGGGGAAUUUUGGACAAUGGGCGAAAGCCUGAUCCAGCCAUGCCGCGUGCAGGAUGAAGGCCUUCGGGUUGUAAACUGCUUUUGUACGGAACGAAACGGUCUCUUCUAAUAAAGGGGCUAAUGACGGUACCGUAAGAAUAAGCACCGGCUAACUACGUGCCAGCAGCCGCGGUAAUACGUAGGGUGCAAGCGUUAAUCGGAAUUACUGGGCGUAAAGCGUGCGCAGGCGGUUAUAUAAGGACAGUUGUGAAAUCCCCGGGCUCAACCUGGGAACUGCAUCUGUGACUGUAUAGCUAGAGUACGGUANAGGGGGAUGGAAUUCCGCGGUGUAGCAGUGAAAUGCGUAGAUAUG